ACCCCUACCUCAGGCCCUACCCUACAGUAGCACUUUCUCUAUCCCCUACUCUUUCUCUUCCCCCUACCCUUUCUCUAUCCCCUACCUCAGGCCCUACCCUACAGUAGCACUUUCUCUAUCCCCUACUCUUUCUCUUCCCCCUACCCUUUCUCUAUCCCCUACCUCAGGCCCUACCCUACAGUAGCACUUUCUCUAUCCCCUACUCUUUCUCUACCCCCUACCCUUUCUCUAUCCUCUACCCUUUCUCUAGCCCCUACUGUUUCUCUAGCCCCUACCCUAGUCACUACCCUACAGUAGCACUUUCUCUACCCCCUACCCUUUCUCUAGCCCCUACCCUAGUCACUACCCUACAGUAGCACUAUUUUAUACCUGACCUGAGAGCCCCAAAGAAACCCAGACUUUCCUGUUUUUGAGAUGGUUACUACAGAUUUUUGAUACAGAGGUGGUGGUGUUACUAACCCGCCAUAUUGGAGUCAGCUUUUAUCACAGACACAAGGUGACGGGAUCCUCCAAGACACUAUUAGAUUGUUAGAUCCUAUAAAUAAAACAAUCACAUGUAUAUUUUACAGAUGUCCCCUUAUCAUUAUGACGUUAGCAGAGGGGGUUAGUAAAAAGUAUGGUAAGACUUGCACAGAUUGCAGUAAGGACAAUGCUUUUGGUGCUUUGAAUGAUUUUGAAAUUCUUCGAAAGAAUGCAGACAUUCGAGUAAAGCAAGCUUCAAGAUGUAUUAAUAGACGAAAGGGAGAGUUUAUGCUUUUGAGAAAAAGAGGUAAGAGAAAAUGCAUGUGUAAAGUUUGAGUUAAAGGUUGUGCCCUUAGCAAGCCGUUUGUGUCUUCAGUAGACACUGAAAUAGACAAGCUACCUGUCUGUCCAGAGUGGAUAUAGAAAGUUAGUUAGCUACUGAUGACACCUUAUUUGAAUGUUCUGUCAUACGCUCAAAUCAUGACUGAGCUGGAUCAAGUUUUUCCUGAAAACACAGACGUUGCAAAAUUCCAAGGUUUUUCCUAAAACCUGAUUGGAGGAUAUCCACAUGUCCUUUCUAUUCCCUCCUGAUUCCAGGAAUUUUUCAACCAGGAUUUCUAGAAAAACAAGGAAUUUUGGGAAAGUUAUCGGAAUUUUGCAGGCCUACACAGAAAUAUUAUGGAAUAUUCAAGUAAUGUGUUCCCAUUCCUUGUUUUGUUUCUCAUUUUGUGUAGAUAAGAAUGAAAAAGUUAAUUCAAUGAAAAAAAUAUAAUAAUAGGUUGUUGAUAUGAAAAAAAUCCAAAAGAAGAUGGAUGUAUGAAUUCCUAGAAAGAAGAAGAAGAUAUGGAUGGAUGGAUUGAUGGAUUGAUGCUGCCACUGACUAUCGUACAGAGCAGCCUGCAUUGGGACCAUAGGCCUACUCCUCAGAAAGAGAUAGAGAGAGAAGGAUACUAAAUCUGAGAACAGAAAGAAAAAGAAGAGAGGCCAGAGAGAGAGAGACUCAUAUUAAGGAAUACAACUACCCAUUGGGUGGUGAACUCUCUGGUUCUCACUAUGUUUCACUAUCACUAUUGAAAUAUGUCACUUUUUAGUAACGCUUGAUUUUACGGCUCUCUAGUUAACAGGUAUUUACCUAUGUAUUAAAAUAUAUUGUGAGAACAUAUCGGUUCAUUUGGGAAUUGAGUGUAAUAUAGACCAGAGAGUACUUUUUGUUAGAAGAAAUGUCACAUUACAUACCAUAUGACAAUUCCAGUCGUAAAAGGGCUGUAAAGUGACAGCGUUCAACUUUAAAACGAUGAAUUUGUUAUAAUUUGCUUGAAUUAUAUUUUAUGGUACGGUACACCAGGAAUCAUAAAUACAGACAUAGCACCUGAAUUCAUGAAAAGAUUAAUUUAACUUAGGCUGUUAUGUUUUUAACCCUUUAAAACUGUAAGUAGUUCUGUUACUGAACCACUUUUUAUUGUUUUGCAAAAGUAAAUAAAUAAAAUAUAGUUGACAUUUUUAUAAAGAUAACUAUCUUAAUGGUGGCAUUUAUUUUCAAACCAAAAGAUAUUUGUGAUUUUGGCAUUCACUAUCUAACAUUGUUUACUCUAUGGAACUUUUAGGCAUUUUUGUUUGCUUCUCUUUCUAAUACUAACUCAAGUCUAAGAAGGGAUAAGAUAGUAAAACAAGGGACCACACACACGCGCACACACAACAGCCUCUGUCUCAGAGGGCUAAGUCACCUUUUCUAAGUGCCCUUUCUCCAGGCAGCGCUAGCGAUCGCGUGGGUGUCCUCCUUCUCCGGUCCUUGUGUGUGUGUGUGUGUGUGUGUGUGUGUGUGUGUGUGUGUGUGUGUGUGUGUGUGUGUGUGUGUGUGUGUGUGUGUGUGUGUGUGUGUGUGUGUGUGUGUGUGUGUG
RNAcentral lists this long non-coding RNA (2360 nucleotides) under Salmo salar (Atlantic salmon). RNAcentral describes it as "lncRNA (ENSSSAG00000114917.1)". Lineage: Eukaryota; Metazoa; Chordata; Actinopteri; Salmoniformes; Salmonidae. The record is from RNAcentral.